CUGCCAGUAGUCAUAUGCUUGUCUCAAA
This 28-nucleotide ribosomal RNA is filed under the name Philodendron glaziovii. RNAcentral describes it as "partial 18S ribosomal RNA". The record is from RNAcentral. Lineage: Eukaryota; Viridiplantae; Streptophyta; Magnoliopsida; Alismatales; Araceae.